Poecilia reticulata (guppy) is the source of this 1012-nucleotide non-coding RNA. The record is from RefSeq and is a predicted model, not a curated record. Lineage: Eukaryota; Metazoa; Chordata; Actinopteri; Cyprinodontiformes; Poeciliidae.
GCUUCCUGAACCAAGAUUCCCAUUAACAUAGGUAACACUGGAGAGAAGUUGUGUUUAUUCCACACAUAUAUAAUGUCUUGGACUUCUAUCUUCAUUUGUUGUAAUUGUAACCCCUAAGCCUUAUCAGCAAUUCCAACCUCAACAUCAUCUUGAAUAUGAUGCCACAAACCUUGAUAGCCAGCAGUGUCGAUGGUCGAUGGAGGAUGGCAAAAACAGACUGCAGAUCUGUGGCACUGGUGCUGGAAUCUCGGUGACCAGCGACAAAGGAAUUCUGAGUCUGAAGUUUGACGGCGCAGCAUGGAGACUGCUGGCCGGCUAUGCAGGUUGUCUGAAGGUCAGCUGGGGAGAAAGUCAGAUGGUCACUGGUGGAAGACGAUGAACUCUUGAGACGACUAUCCAUGGAGGUGAAGGGACCCUCCUACAGGCCAAUAGUGGAGAAUGUAAAGGAUGGUGUUGAGGACAUCGGCAAAGGAACCCUUGAGACCAAUGGAGGCGGUGGCUGAGGAAACCUGGAGACUAUGUUGACGACUGAGGAAUCUUGAAGGCCAGCCAAGUGGAGAGUUGGUCUCCAGGUUUAGCCUAGGAUCUGAGCACUCGCAAUAGAGCUCAGGAACCCUGGAGAUGGGGAAGGCAAUCCACAGAGAAGCCCUGAAGAUUAGAAAACCCACAGAGGAGCUCUAGAGACAAGGAAAACCCACGAAGGAGAAAAGUCACCCAUAUAGGUUCUAAAGAGGCUAAGGUCCACCCGGAUGUUAGCCUCUGCAAAGACUGCUGGUUCUACUGCCAUCUGCAUUGGGCAGCUGAGCAGUCACUUUGGGCGGCUGAAAUCCUGCUGUUGCAGCUGAAGAAAAAGAAAUGGGGGCCGAAGUACCUUGAUGCCAACGUGGCGCAGACUUAAGACAGAGGAGGACGUCGGGUCAAGGAGUGGAGGAGUUGGAGCAGGGCAUUCUGAUGGUAAUAGUAAGGAUGGGUCAUGGAGUGGAGGUUGUCCUUUAGGAUGCCAUUAUUAAAA